GCACAACGCGAAGAACCUUACCCGGGUUUGAACGUAGGGAGACAGGGUGGAACAUCCUUUUCAGCAAUGACUGCCUACGAGGUGCUGCAUGGUUGUCGUCAGCUCGUGCCGUGAGGUGUCGGCUUAAGUGCCAUAACGAGCGCAACCCUUAUUUCCAGUUACUAACAGGUGAUGCUGAGGACUCUGGAGAGACUGCCAGCGUAAGCUGUGAGGAAGGUGGGGAUGACGUCAAAUCAGCACGGCCCUUACAUCCGGGGCGACACACGUGUUACAAUGGUAAGGACAAAGGGCAGCUACCGGGCGACCGGAUGCGAAUCUCUAAACCUUAUCUCAGUUCGGAUCGGAGUCUGCAACUCGACUCCGUGAAGCUGGAUUCGCUAGUAAUCGCGCAUCAGCCAUGGCGCGGUGAAUACGUUCCCGGGUCUUGUACACACCG
Molecule: ribosomal RNA, 436 nt
Filed under: uncultured bacterium
Lineage: Bacteria
Description: bacterial SSU rRNA
Rfam family: Bacterial small subunit ribosomal RNA
Source: RNAcentral